UACGUAGGGCGCAAGCGUUGUCCGGAAUUAUUGGGCGUAAAGAGCUCGUAGGCGGUCUGUCGCGUCUGCCGUGAAAACCCGAGGCUCAACCUCGGGCCUGCAGUGGGUACGGGCAGACUAGAGUGCGGUAGGGGAGAUUGGAAUUCCUGGUGUAGCGGUGGAAUGCGCAGAUAUCAGGAGGAACACCGAUGGCGAAGGCAGAUCUCUGGGCCGUAACUGACGCUGAGGAGCGAAAGCAUGGGGAGCGAACAGG
This 253-nucleotide ribosomal RNA is filed under the name uncultured bacterium. Its description in RNAcentral is "partial 16S ribosomal RNA". It matches the Rfam family "Bacterial small subunit ribosomal RNA", at positions 524 to 776 of the family's 1533-position model. The record is from RNAcentral.